GGGAGGGUGAUCUCGGACCCUCAACGGAAGGUAUUGUUCUUGUGUCGAGAUUUUGUCUCUCGUAUUCCAUGGAGAGCCCAAAGGGUUCCCGGAAUUUAAGAAGCACCUUGACUAAUGGAGAUAUGACUUGUAAGCUCAUGGGAGAAAUGUCAAUAUUGUGCAAAAUAUUAAUUAUGCAUAUUGCGCUUGCGGGAGUUCAAACCACCAACCAAGGCUUAAAGGCCUUACCUUUACAUCCACAAAAUACAAGAGAGACAAAAUCCCAACACAUGAACGAUACUUUUCGUUGGGGUUUGAGACCGACAUUCCUU
Molecule: microRNA precursor, 311 nt
Filed under: Gossypium raimondii (Peruvian cotton)
Lineage: Eukaryota; Viridiplantae; Streptophyta; Magnoliopsida; Malvales; Malvaceae
Description: miR8749 stem-loop (gra-MIR8749)
Source: miRBase by way of RNAcentral